UGCCAGCCGCCGCGGUAAUACGGAGGGUGCAAGCGUUAAUCGGAAUUACUGGGCGUAAAGCGCGCGUAGGCGGCUAUUUAAGUCGGAUGUGAAAUCCCCGGGCUCAACCUGGGAACUGCAUACGAUACUGGGUAGCUAGAAUCUUGGAGAGGUCAGUGGAAUUCCGAGUGUAGAGGUGAAAUUCGUAGAUAUUCGGAAGAACACCAGUGGCGAAGGCGACUGACUGGACAAGUAUUGACGCUGAGGUGCGAAAGCGUGGGGAGCAAACAGGAUUAGAUA
RNAcentral lists this ribosomal RNA (279 nucleotides) under uncultured bacterium. RNAcentral describes it as "partial 16S ribosomal RNA". It matches the Rfam family "Bacterial small subunit ribosomal RNA", at positions 506 to 784 of the family's 1533-position model. The record is from RNAcentral.